GAUGAACGCUGGCGGCGUGCCUAAUACAUGCAAGUCGAGCGAACAGACGCGGAGCUUGCUCCUUUCACGUUAGCGGCGGACGGGUGAGUCACGUGUGGAUACUCUCCCUAUCAUACUGGGAUCACUUCGGGACACCGGCGCUUAUCCCGGAUAAUCUCUUGAACCGCAUGGUUCAUUGGUGAAAGUCGGUUUUGCUGUCACUUAUAGCUGGAUCCCCGCCGGUGUAGCUGGUUGGUGAGGUACCGGCCUACCAAGGCAACGAGGCGUAGCCGAGUUGAGAGAGGGAUCGGCCACACGGGAGCGGAGACGCGGACCAGGCGCCUACGGGAGGCAGCAGUAUGCAAUCGUACGCAAUGGUCGAAAGCCUGACGGAGCAACGCCGCGUGAGAGAUGAAGGUCCUCGGAGCGUAAAACUCUGUUAUUAGUUAAGAACAAAUGUGUAAGUAACUAUGCACUGCGUGACGGUACCUAAUCAGAAAGCCACGGCUAACUACGUG
This 497-nucleotide ribosomal RNA is filed under the name uncultured bacterium. RNAcentral's name for it is "partial 16S ribosomal RNA". It matches the Rfam family "Bacterial small subunit ribosomal RNA", at positions 28 to 507 of the family's 1533-position model. The record is from RNAcentral.